GUGCAGCAGGCGAGAAUACUUUACAAUGUGCGAAAGCACGAUAAGGGAACUCUGAGUGCCUCCUAAGGAGGCUGUUCAGGUGUCUAAAAAGCACCUGGAGUAAGGGCUGGGUAAGACCGGUGCCAGCCGCCGCGGUAACACCGGCAGCCCAGGUGGUAGCCACUUUUAUUGGGUCUAAAGCGUCCGUAGCCGGUUGAGUAAGUUCCUUGGGAAAUUUGGCUGCUCAACAGUCAAGCUUCCAGGGAAUACUGCUCGACUUGGGACUGGGAGAGGUCAGAGGUACUCCAGGGGUAGGGGUGAAAUCCAUUAAUCCCUGGGGACCACCGGUAGCGAAGGCGUCUGACCAGACCAGGUCCGACGGUGAGGGACGAAGGCUAGGGUCGCGAACCGGAUUAGA
This 397-nucleotide ribosomal RNA is filed under the name uncultured microorganism. RNAcentral's name for it is "bacterial SSU rRNA". It matches the Rfam family "Archaeal small subunit ribosomal RNA", at positions 330 to 733 of the family's 1478-position model. The record is from RNAcentral.